Molecule: long non-coding RNA, 599 nt
Organism: Oreochromis aureus
Lineage: Eukaryota; Metazoa; Chordata; Actinopteri; Cichliformes; Cichlidae
Exons: 2
Source: RefSeq, a predicted model, not a curated record
CUGGUCAUAUUUAAUUAUAAUAUGAACCAAUGAUUUUCUGAUUGCUGAUUCUAAGAGAGUCUUUGUGGAAAUCCUGUUUGGCUUUUUGUCAUUUUAAUUCUCUUUUCUGUUUUCCAGAACAGUUCUCCACAGUCACUGUCCACAUGGGUCAGUGGGACCAAGAAGCACUCUGCUAAUGUGUGGACUCUGACCAGCAACAUCCAGCAAGACCCAGACAGCGUUUUCUAUCUCCCUGCUGGAGUUUUUUUGUUUGUCUGUGACUGGAGAGUCAGAUUUUUGUUGAGGCUGGAGGAACAGCCUCACACUUGCAGAGGUUAAUACACUCUACUGAUCCCUGAUGGGAGAAUCUUCACCUCUGCCAACAAAGAAGCCUGGUGGAUAUUUGUUUGCAGUCUGAUGAUGGGACAUCAUGCUCUGCAUCUUCAAAGUUUGUCUCUUGAUUAUUAUUCAUACACAGUAAUGUGAAGCAUGCUUAUAUCUAGUAUAACUGGACCAACCUGGUGCUCUUCAUUUAUGGAGGCUGUUGAGUCUGAAUGUUGGAUGUUGUGUAUCUCGUGUUCUCUGGGCUUUGUUGUCCUCAGUCUUUUUGCAGGAUCAGG